Molecule: ribosomal RNA, 759 nt
Filed under: uncultured delta proteobacterium
Lineage: Bacteria; Deltaproteobacteria
Description: bacterial SSU rRNA
Rfam family: Bacterial small subunit ribosomal RNA
Source: RNAcentral
GCUUGCAGAAGAUAGUAAAGUGGCGCACGGGUGAGUAACGCGUGGGUAAUCUACCUUCAAAUCGGGGAUAACAUUGCGAAAGCGAUGCUAAUACCGGAUGACGUCUAAUAAACCCCGGUUUAUGAGAUUAAAGGUGGCCUCUAUAUAUAAGCUACUGUUUGAAGAUGAGCCCGCGUACCAUUAGCCUGUUGGUAGGGUAACGGCCUACCAAAGCAACGAUGGUUAGCUGGUCUGAGAGGAUGACCAGCCACACUGGAACUGACACACGGUCCAGACUCCUACGGGAGGCAGCAGUGAGGAAUUUUGCGCAAUGGGGGAAACCCUGACGCAGCAACGCCGCGUGAGUGAUGAAGGCUUUCGGGUCGUAAAACUCUGUCAAGUGGGAAGAAACUGGUUGAUGCCAAUACCAUCGGCCAUUGACGGUACCACUGAAGGAAGCACCGGCUAACUCCGUGCCAGCAGCCGCGGUAAUACGGGGGGUGCAAGCGUUAUUCGGAAUUAUUGGGCGUAAAGAGCGCGUAGGCGGUCUUUUAAGUCAGAUGUGAAAGCCCGGGGCUCAACCCCGGAAGUGCAUUUGAAACUAAAAGACUUGAGUAUGGGAGAGGGAAGUGGAAUUCCUGGUGUAGAGGUGAAAUUCGUAGAUAUCAGGGGGAACACCGGUGGCGAAGGCGACUUCCUGGACCAAUACUGACGCUGAGGCGCGAAGGCGUGGGGAGCAAACAGGAUUAGAUACCCUGGUAGUCCACGCAGUAAACGUUG